This 492-nucleotide ribosomal RNA is filed under the name uncultured bacterium. RNAcentral describes it as "partial 16S ribosomal RNA". It matches the Rfam family "Bacterial small subunit ribosomal RNA", at positions 28 to 507 of the family's 1533-position model. The record is from RNAcentral.
GAUGAACGCUAGCUACAGGCUUAACACAUGCAAGUCGAGGGGAAACGACAUCGAAAGCUUGCUUUUGAUGGGCGUCGACCGGCGCACGGGCGAGUAACGCGUAUCCAACCUGCCCAUCACUUGGGAAUAACCUUGCGAAAGUAAGACUAAUACCCAAUGACAUCCCACGAAGACAUCUGAAUGGGAUUAAAGAUUUAUCGGUGAUGGAUGGGGAUGCGUCUGAUUAGCUUGUUGGCGGGGUAACGGCCCACCAAGGCAACGAUCAGUAGGGGUUCUGAGAGGAAGGUCCCCCACAUUGGAACUGAGACACGGUCCAAACUCCUACGGGAGGCAGCAGUGAGGAAUAUUGGUCAAUGGGCGAGAGCCUGAACCAGCCAAGUAGCGUGCAGGAUGACGGCCCUAUGGGUUGUAAACUGCUUUUAUAAGGGAAUAAAGUGGGUCUCGUGAGACUUUUUGCAUGUACCUUAUGAAUAAGGACCGGCUAAUUCCAUG